RNAcentral lists this ribosomal RNA (429 nucleotides) under Chloroflexota bacterium. RNAcentral describes it as "Chloroflexi bacterium partial 16S ribosomal RNA". It matches the Rfam family "Bacterial small subunit ribosomal RNA", at positions 355 to 776 of the family's 1533-position model. Lineage: Bacteria; Bacillati; Chloroflexota. The record is from RNAcentral.
UGGGGAAUAUUGCACAAUGGGCGCAAGCCUGAUGCAGCCAUGCCGCGUGUGUGAAGAAGGCCUUCGGGUUGUAAAGCACUUUCAGCGGGGAGGAAGGCGUUAAGGUUAAUAACCUUGGCGAUUGACGUUACCCGCAGAAGAAGCACCGGCUAACUCCGUGCCAGCAGCCGCGGUAAUACGGAGGGUGCAAGCGUUAAUCGGAAUUACUGGGCGUAAAGCGCACGCAGGCGGUCUGUCAAGUCGGAUGUGAAAUCCCCGGGCUCAACCUGGGAACUGCAUAAGAAACUGGCAGGCUAGAGUCUUGUAGAGGGGGGUAGAAUUCCAGGUGUAGCGGUGAAAUGCGUAGAGCUCUUGAGGAAUACCGGUGGCGAAGGCGGCACCCUGGUCAAAGACUGACGCUCAGGUGCGAAAGCGUGGGGAGCAAACAGG